RNAcentral lists this ribosomal RNA (454 nucleotides) under uncultured Barnesiella sp. RNAcentral's name for it is "partial 16S ribosomal RNA". It matches the Rfam family "Bacterial small subunit ribosomal RNA", at positions 341 to 792 of the family's 1533-position model. Lineage: Bacteria; Pseudomonadati; Bacteroidota; Bacteroidia; Bacteroidales; Barnesiellaceae. The record is from RNAcentral.
ACGGAAGGCAGCAGUGAGGAAUAUUGGUCAAUGGGCGGAAGCCUGAACCAGCCAAGUCGCGUGAGGGAAGACGGCCCUACGGGUUGUAAACCUCUUCUGCGCGGGGGUAAAGUCGGGGACGGGUCCCCGAUUGCAAGUACCGCGCGAAAAAGGAUCGGCUAACUCCGUGCCAGCAGCCGCGGUAAUACGGAGGAUGCGAGCGUUAUCCGGAUUUAUUGGGUUUAAAGGGUGCGUAGGCGGCCCCUUAAGUCGGCGGUGAAAUUUCCGGGCUCAACCCGGUCACUGCCGUCGAAACUGGGGGGCUUGAGUGCGUUUGGGGUGGCUGGAAUGUGCGGUGUAGCGGUGAAAUGCAUAGAUAUCGCACAGAACGCCGAUCGCGGAGGCAGGUCACCAAGCCGCAACUGACGCUGAGGCACGAAAGCGCGGGGAUCGAACAGGAUUAGAUACCCUGGUA